Molecule: non-coding RNA, 101 nt
Organism: Acanthosepion pharaonis
Lineage: Eukaryota; Metazoa; Mollusca; Cephalopoda; Sepiida; Sepiidae
Source: the annotation of a GenBank genome assembly
GCGUUGAAACACCGGCUCCCGUACUAUCAGAGAAGUUAAGUAACAUCGAGCUUGGUCAGUACCUAGAUGGGUGACCACUUGGGGAUACAAGGCAUUGUAAG